RNAcentral lists this ribosomal RNA (544 nucleotides) under uncultured bacterium. Its description in RNAcentral is "bacterial SSU rRNA". It matches the Rfam family "Bacterial small subunit ribosomal RNA", at positions 359 to 896 of the family's 1533-position model. The record is from RNAcentral.
GUUCGGCGAAUGGGGGAAACCCUGACCGAGCGACGCCGCGUGGAGGAUGAAGGCCUUCGGGUCGUAAACUCCUGUCAGCUGGGAAGAAACACGGACCGGUUAAUACCCGGAUCGUUUGACGGUACCAGCAGAGGAAGCUCCGGCUAACUCCGUGCCAGCAGCCGCGGUAAUACGGGGGGAGCAAACGUUGUUCGGAUUCACUGGGCGUAAAGGGGGCGUAGGCGGCCAGGUAAGUGGGGCGUGAAAUCCUUCGGCUCAACCGAAGACCUGCGCUUCAAACUGCCUGGCUUGAGUCCGGGAGGGGAGACGGGAAUUCCUGGUGUAGCGGUGAAAUGCGCAGAUAUCAGGAAGAACACCGGCGGCGAAGGCGCGUCUCUGGACCGGUACUGACGCUGAUGCCCGAAAGCGUGGGGAGCAAACAGGAUUAGAUACCCUGGUAGUCCACGCCGUAAACGAUGGGCACUAGGUGUGGAGAGUAUCGACCCUCUCCGUGCCGAAGCUAACGCAUUAAGUGCCCCGCCUGGGGACUACGGCCGCAAGGUUA